CGUGAGUGACCUGCCCUGGAGUGGGGAAUAACUCUGCGAAAGCAGAGCUAAUACCGCAUUCGCUUAGUCGUUCAGUCGAUUAAGUAAAGCUCAAUGCGCUUCAGGAGGGGCUUGCGGCCGAUUAGCUAGUCGGUGGGGUAAUGGCCUACCGAGGCAACGAUCGGUAGCUGGUCUGAGAGGAUGACCAGCCACACUGGGACUGAGACACGGCCCAG
Molecule: ribosomal RNA, 215 nt
Filed under: uncultured bacterium
Lineage: Bacteria
Description: partial 16S ribosomal RNA
Rfam family: Bacterial small subunit ribosomal RNA
Source: RNAcentral